GCUGACAGCAACACGUCGGCCUGUUUGAACCGACAGAGAGAGUCAGACCCAAUAAAAGCCGAUCAGAGCUGCAGGUUUGAUGGAGAAGACUGAUGAAGAAGACGAGGACAGUCUGAAGACAGAGAGGACGGACGCUCACUUCUCACCCAGAGACUCCGGGGAGGACGGAGAGUCCUCGGUGUGGUUAAAGACGACAGACUCACCUGUCAGACUGAGCAGCUGACGGGUCGCAUCACUGCAGGCCAGAUUCAGCUGUUUCUCUUCAACACGUUCAAGCUGCUCGAUGGUAAAAAAAACCUUCAGAGCCUUUUUUUUGAUUAUUUUUUGUACUUUGUGUCUUGAGCUGAACUUUUGUUGGACUGAUUCUAUUUACUUCCUGUCUUUCUCUCGCGUUGAAAUACAGAGUUUUCUCUAUGAUAUUUCCUCAUUUCAAUACAAAAACCUACAUAAGGCAGCACCUGGAAGUUUCUGGUUAAGUUGCUGUUGGUUAUAUUGAGUCAUUUCCAGUAAAGGAACAUUUAAACAUCAUCAUAUAAAAGGUUUCUGUUAGGAUAUCAAGGACUCAGCCAUCUUGUACCUGAGCGGUUACAUCUCCAGUCUGAUCUGAGGUCAACAGCUGAGGUUUGUUUACAUGAAUAAAGAAAUAAAUAAAGAAUAUUUAACAGCUUCACUGUGGAUGAAGGAAUGAUUCACUCUUCAUAAGGACACCUGACUGCUGGUUUAACACAUGUUCAGAAAAUUGGGGCCUGUCUUAUAAACAUCUGGAGGAUUUUAAAAAUUUUAUUUAUUUGUAUUUAUUUGUAUUUAUUUUGAACAGGGACAACAUCGCUGUAAAGGCUCAUUAUUAACUGUUAAAAACAACAUUAAAACAAACAGAAGGAAGCAGCUGAUUCAGACAGAAGACAUGAAAUAUAACUCGAGCAAUGAGAGAGAAUGAAGAUCAGCUGAUGACGAUCAGCACGUCAUUCUCGUACUCGUGUAACAGGCCACAGGUCCUUUUAGCAAGACGUCUCAUCCUAUAGGAGUGGAAAUCUCUGUCUUUCUGCAUAGUUAGAGUUUGAUAACAGUCAUCAAUGAUAGAACGUUUCAUGUCAUUUAUGUUUAGUUCAGACAGAAAAAAUAUGUAAAUUGUGAAUAAGUGAUAAUAUGUGAGGUGAGAGCAUGGUGGGUUUGUUUGGGGAUACUUGUGUCAGUCACAUACGCUCCUCACACAGGACGGGUUUUUUUUUUAUUGAUUGUAUUGAUUAUUCUGCCGGUUAAACCCUGCUGUCACCGCUCCGAGUGAAGAAAAUCCCUCCAGACGACACAAAGUUCCCCAAACGAGCCGAACACACUCCGACAAAACAAACCUCCAAACUGUCAAAUAAGGAAAAAUAACAGUAAACCUCCACCUGGAAGCAGGUGAAACACCAGACAGGAAUCCUGCUUUGAACUAAUAUCACAGAAAGAAACAGGAGUCGAGAAAAGAAGCUCCGAGUUUCCCGCCAGGAGAGGCUUCCUGCCCCGGCUGCACCGCAGGCUGAUCACAGCGGUGACACUUUAAAUUUACUACAGAUAAAGACACUGAAACUAUAGUGAAAGGUUGCUGGUAUGAUGUCACUGUUACUAUCAACAUUUUCACUAU
Thunnus maccoyii (southern bluefin tuna) is the source of this 1624-nucleotide long non-coding RNA. RefSeq lists it as uncharacterized. NCBI's taxonomy places the organism in Eukaryota, Metazoa, Chordata, Actinopteri, Scombriformes, Scombridae. The transcript is spliced from 3 exons. The record is from RefSeq and is a predicted model, not a curated record.